UUUCCGUAGGUGAACCUGCGGAAGGAUCAUUAUUGUAUAACCGAGGUGCGAGGGCUGUCGCUGACCCGAAAGGUCGUGCACGCCCGAGUGCCCUCACACACAUCCAUCUCACCCCUAUAUGCACCACCGCGUGGGUCCCCCUUUGGCUUGUUCGGAGGGGGGCUUACGUUUUCACACAAACUUUGUAUGCAGUGUAGAAUGUAUUUUUUGUUUUUGUGAUCACGCAAUCAAUACAACUUUCAACAACGGAUCUCUUGGCUCUC
This 263-nucleotide unclassified non-coding RNA is filed under the name plant metagenome. RNAcentral's name for it is "partial contains small subunit ribosomal RNA, internal transcribed spacer 1, and 5.8S ribosomal RNA". The record is from RNAcentral.